UCCAGGGGAUCUUCCCAACCCAGGGAUCGAACCCAGGGAUUGAACCCGGGUCUCCCGCAUUGCAGGCAGAUGCUUUACCCUCGGAGCCACCAGGGAAGCCCCAAAUUAGGGAAGUAUUGCCCCCUAAUUUAGAACCACCGAGGAGCACCCAUGAGUAUGAUCCCAAGCAACCAGUGUUAGUGCUACCCACAAGUGUAGACUUGAAUUGCUCAGGGUCAUAAAUGCACUGUUCUAAGGUUUACUGUAAUAUCUGAUACAGUAGCCACAAUCCUAUCCACAUGUAUUUACAUUUAAAUAUAAAUUAAUUAAAACAAAAUCAAAUAGUUUCUCAGUUGAUCUAGUCACGGUCCAAGUGCUGAAGAGCUGCCUAUGGACUACAGUUACGGAAUAUUUCCAUCAUCUCAGAAAUUCCUAUUGGACUGAGUUAGUCAAAAGCACUCAGAGAACUGGUCCUCACCCUCAGUACUUAAAAUUUCUUCCAUGGUCAACCAAUUAUCAUUAUAAUAGAACGUGAAAAGGGUAAGCACUCUUUGAAAGUUGGUAAACACUUCAUGAAAUUUGAAGUUGGUGGACUGGUUAAAUCCAAAGACUGAACGAAACAAGCCAAAAUACAGUGUAAGUCGAACACAUAGUGAAGUUGAGAAGUUGUGGUAGAGAUGUAAUGUUUUAAAAAAAUCUGUUCACACAAUGAUUCCACUAAUUUAUUCAAUAUUUUAUAUUUGACAGAUAAAAUAAGAUAUUGUGUGACUCCUGUUCUUGAAGAAAUUGACUCAGCUCCUCACCAUGCAUCAUGGACAAAUUCUACAUUUCUUGGGCUUGAGAAGGAUAUUGGUUCCCACCUACUCACUAAGACAGAGGACCUCAAUUGUCCUUCAACAACAUCUGGAGCUGGGGCUGGAAGACAUCCCUCGGGCCCUCUAAGCUUACUGCCCAGGAAAGAAGAGCCACAGUUUCCUCUGUGGGUGACUGGAUGAGCCAACACUGCCCCUCACUCUGUCCCUAAUGGUCAGUCAGCCAAGGAAAGAGUGUCUAGUUUGGCCUACUCAUCUGCACCAAAAAAUAUCAAAGAAGUUUUAUUCAAGCAGAGCUAACACUAUCAAUCAUGUACAUUUGUUAGUUCAACAAUCUGAGAAGCCAGAAGGAAGGGCUUUCAGAGUCAAAACUUGACCCUCCGUCCUUUAUUGAAGGAUUACAGGUAAAAACCUGCUGUCAAUAAAUAGCUGCCUUGGUUUUUGCCAUUCCUACAGUACUUUGGGCUAAAGCAAAACUUUAUAAAUUUAAAGCUCAUGAUUGCCAUCUGCUGACACAUGUGUGAAUUACAAGUAGUCUGCAUAGUUGGUAUAUACUGUGUUCAGAUUUGGGUGUUUUGUGUCUUCCUUUCAAACCCAUUAGGUAGAUUUUAUAUCUGAUUUUAUACAUGUAUUUUCCCUAAAAGUAAUGUAUUUCACAAUUUACUGAACAACUAAA
Molecule: long non-coding RNA, 1467 nt
Organism: Cervus elaphus (red deer)
Lineage: Eukaryota; Metazoa; Chordata; Mammalia; Artiodactyla; Cervidae
Exons: 4
Source: RefSeq, a predicted model, not a curated record